This 615-nucleotide ribosomal RNA is filed under the name uncultured marine eukaryote. RNAcentral's name for it is "bacterial SSU rRNA". It matches the Rfam family "Eukaryotic small subunit ribosomal RNA", at positions 622 to 1240 of the family's 1831-position model. The record is from RNAcentral.
AAAAGCUCGUAGUUGAAUUUUUAAGAGAAUCAAUUGUAUGUGUUCGUUCUGAAUUACAAUGAAUGUUGAUUACUCUUAUUUGCUCUUUUCCAGUGUUGGAAUUCAGUUUUUGACAGUUAAUGAAGUGUUUAUUUACUUUGAGAAAAUUUGUGUGUUCUAAGCAGUCGUACGACUGUAUCCUAAAGCAUGGAAUAAUAAGUAAUGACUUUGAUCAAUUUCUGAUGGUUUGAGAGAUUAUUGUAAUGAUUUAUAGAGUUUGUCGGAGGUAUUAGUAUUUUGUCGUUAGAGGUGAAAUUCUGGGAUCGUCAAAAGACUAACAACUGUGUAAGCAAUUACCUAGGAUUUUCUCCUUGAUCAAGAACGUAAGUUGAGGGAUCGAAGACGAUCAGAUACCGUCGUAGUCUCAACUUUAAACGAUAUCAGCUAGGGAUUAGUAAAUGUUUAUAUGACUUUGUUAGAACCUUAUGAGAAAUCAAAGCGUUUGGAUUCCGGGGGGAGUAUGGUCGCAAGGCUGAAACUUAAAGGAAUUGACGGAAGGGCACCACAAGAUGUGGAUCCUGUGGCUUAAUUUGACUCAACACUGGGAAACUUACCAGGUCCAGACAUAGGUAAGAU